GUGAGGUUAACUGAAGUUCGGGAGCAGGGCCACGCCUCAAACAAUCACCUGACUUCCAAUCCUCCAUAUAUACCGGGCCACGUCACACCACUCUGCUAGUCUCGUUCUCGAGAAGGACAGGUGUACUUGCCUGGUCUGAACGGCACGCUGUUUGAUUCAUCGUCACUGACGACACUCGACGAUCACCUCUCAUCAUUCUGAUCACAGUCUCUUUCAGAGCGUUCGCGUUCGAUCAUCCACAUUCUGGGCCUCGAGCGCCCACUCACACACUCAUCUCAGGCGGAUCCUGAGCCCAACCUCCUUGCUCUCCGCCAGUGAGAUCCGCAGGCCGAAUUCGCCAUCUUCAUUAGCGCGGUGAACGCCGAAACUGAAUUCCCGCUCCCGUCGCGGCCGCUCGCUCACGCUUCUCCAGCGCUCUCAUUGCACGUCUUCUAGAAUCCAGAGCCGAGGACAACUGAACCACGGGUCGCCUUCAACACGCCCUUAAAUCCAAGCCCCCCAGCACUUCCGGCAACUCUACUCUCCGUCACACGUGACGUCACGUGAAUUCUCCUCCACAGCAUCAAACCACAGCGCCCCCUAGCGGCAGGCAAGACCUAUCACCACCGCCACCACCACAGCGGUACUUCAGGUGGAUGACCUCACAACUGACAACAGCACCACCUCUACAGUGCCCAGCGGUCGAGCCUGCAGUUAACUACAGCACCACCAGAAGCGCCUCAGGUGAAGUGAUCAUUUAGCUACAACAGCACCGCCAUCAGCGCCUCAGGCGAAACGAUCAUACAGCUACAUCAGCACCGCCAUCAGCGCCUCAGGUGG
Molecule: long non-coding RNA, 819 nt
Organism: Carassius auratus (goldfish)
Lineage: Eukaryota; Metazoa; Chordata; Actinopteri; Cypriniformes; Cyprinidae
Exons: 3
Source: RefSeq, a predicted model, not a curated record